This 497-nucleotide ribosomal RNA is filed under the name uncultured bacterium. RNAcentral's name for it is "partial 16S ribosomal RNA". It matches the Rfam family "Bacterial small subunit ribosomal RNA", at positions 28 to 507 of the family's 1533-position model. The record is from RNAcentral.
GAUGAACGCUGGCGGCGUGCCUAAUACAUGCAAGUCGAGCGAACGGACGAGAAGCUUGCUUCUCUGAUGUUAGCGGCGGACGGGUGAGUAACACGUGGAUAACCUACCUAUAAGACUGGGAUAACUUCGGGAAACCGGAGCUAAUACCGGAUAAUAUUUUGAACCGCAUGGUUCAAAAGUGAAAGACGGUCUUGCUGUCACUUAUAGAUGGAUCCGCGCUGCAUUAGCUAGUUGGUAAGGUAACGGCUUACCAAGGCAACGAUGCAUAGCCGACCUGAGAGGGUGAUCGGCCACACUGGAACUGAGACACGGUCCAGACUCCUACGGGAGGCAGCAGUAGGGAAUCUUCCGCAAUGGGCGAAAGCCUGACGGAGCCACGCCGCGUGAGUGAUGAAGGUCUUCGGAUCGUAAAACUCUGUUAUUAGGGAAGAACAUAUGUGUAAGUAACUGUGCACAUCUUGACGGUACCUAAUCAGAAAGCCCCGGCUAACUACGUG